AUUGAACGCUGGCGGCAGGCCUAACACAUGCAAGUCGAACGAGUGGCGGACGGGUGAGUAAUGUCUGGGAAACUGCCUGAUGGAGGGGGAUAACUACUGGAAACGGUAGCUAAUACCGCAUACCAUCGGAUGUGCACAGAUGGGAUUAGCUAGUAGGUGGGGUAAAGGCUCACCUAGGCGACGCUCCCUAGCUGGUCUUAGAGGAUGACCAGCCACACUGGAACUGUGACACUGUCCAGACUCCUACGGGCGGCAGCAGUUGGGAAUAUUGCACAAUGUGCGCAAGCCUGAUGCAGCCAUGCCGCGUGUAUGAAGAAGGCCUUCGGGUUGUAAAGUACUUUCAGCGGGGAGGCGUUACCCGCAGAAGAAGCACCGGCUAACGCCGUGCCAGCAGCCGCGGUAAUUC
Molecule: ribosomal RNA, 406 nt
Filed under: uncultured bacterium
Lineage: Bacteria
Description: partial 16S ribosomal RNA
Rfam family: Bacterial small subunit ribosomal RNA
Source: RNAcentral